Molecule: ribosomal RNA, 271 nt
Filed under: uncultured bacterium
Lineage: Bacteria
Description: partial 16S ribosomal RNA
Rfam family: Bacterial small subunit ribosomal RNA
Source: RNAcentral
AAUCCACCUCUUAGUGGGGAAUAACUUUGGGAAACCGAAGCUAAUACCGCAUAAGCCUGAGAAGGGAAAGCUGGAAACGGCGCUGAGAGAGGAGUCCGCGGCCGAUUAGCUAGUUGGUAGGGUAAUGGCCUACCAAGGCGAUGAUCGGUAGCCGGCCUGAGAGGGCACACGGCCACACUGGCACUGAAACACGGGCCAGACUCCUACGGGAGGCAGCAGUGGGGAAUCUUGCACAAUGGGGGCAACCCUGAUGCAGCGACGCCGCGUGAAC